UACGGGAGGCAGCAGUGGGGAAUCUUAGACAAUGGGCGCAAGCCUGAUCUAGCCAUGCCGCGUGAGUGAUGAAGGCCUUAGGGUCGUAAAGCUCUUUCGCCAGGGAUGAUAAUGACAGUACCUGGUAAAGAAACCCCGGCUAACUCCGUGCCAGCAGCCGCGGUAAUACGGAGGGGGUGAGCGUUGUUCGGAAUUACUGGGCGUAAAGCGUACGUAGGCGGAUCAGAAAGUUAGGGGUGAAAUCCCGAGGCUCAACCUCGGAACUGCCUCUAAAACUCCUGGUCUUGAGUUCGAGAGAGGUGAGUGGAAUUCCAAGUGUAGAGGUGAAAUUUGUAGAUAUUUGGAGGAACACCAGUGGCGAAGGCGGCUCACUGGCUCGAUACUGACGCUGAGGUACGAAAGUGUGGGGAGCAAACAGGAUUAGAUACCCUGGUAGUCCACACCGUAAACGAUGAAUGCCAGUCGUCGGGUAGCAUGCUAUUCGGUGACACACCUAACG
Molecule: ribosomal RNA, 499 nt
Filed under: uncultured bacterium
Lineage: Bacteria
Description: bacterial SSU rRNA
Rfam family: Bacterial small subunit ribosomal RNA
Source: RNAcentral